Non-coding RNA from Corylus avellana, 3248 nucleotides. Lineage: Eukaryota; Viridiplantae; Streptophyta; Magnoliopsida; Fagales; Betulaceae. The record is from RefSeq and is a predicted model, not a curated record.
UUCGCGUCUGCCUCGUUUCCUCUCUAGGAAGCUCUAGAAGUUGAGCAGCUUUGUAUUAGUUCCUGGGCAGUGUCAGUCUUCUCGACACAAAUUGUUCUCGCAGCUUCCAGAAAUAAAUGCCAUAUAUUAGACGCUCCACUUCACACCAAAAAUAAAUGCCAUAAUCUUCGCGUCUGCCCCGUUUCCUCUCUAGGAAGCUCUAGAAGUUGAGCAGCUUUGUAUUAGUUUCUGGGCAGUGUCAGUCUUCUCGACACAAAUUGUUCUCGCAGCUUCCAGUCCUAUUCUCUCUCUGCUCAGCCUGCUUCCAUCUCUCUUCGUCGCCGCUCUAAGCAGAAUGUCUGAACCAGCAUACACUGUGGCAUCUGAUAGUGAAACCACAGGAGAGGAGAAAACUUCUUCUGCUUUUCCAGAAAUUGCAAUUGGAAUUGACAUUGGCACUGCCCAAUGCAGUGUUGCAGUCUGGAAUGGCUCCCAAGUAGAGCUUCUUAAAAAUACUAGAAACCAAAAAAUGAUGCGAUCAUAUGUCAACUUCAAAGAUGAUGUCCCUUUAGGGGGUGUCAGCAAUCAACUCUCCCAUGAACAUGAAAUGUUAUCUGGAGCAGCAAUCUUCAACAUGAAACGCUUAAUUGGUCGGGCUGACACUGAUCCAGUUGUUCAUGCAAGCAAAAGCCUUCCAUUUUUGGUACAAACAUUGGACAUUGGUGUCCGACCGUUUAUUGGAGCCUUGGUUAACAAUGUCUGGAGAUCCACCACUCCUGAAGAAGUCCUGGCAAUAUAUCUGUUGGAGUUAAGAGCAAUGGCUGAAGUUGCGUUAAAGCGGCCCAUAAGAAAUGUUGUUCUGACCAUUCCUGUUUCAUUUAAUCGCUUCCAGGUGACCCGGAUUGAACGUGCUUGUGCCAUGGCUGGCCUUCAUGUCCUAAGACUGAUGCCUGAACCAACAGCUGUGGCACUAUUAUAUGCACAGCAGCAGCAACAGACUAUACAUGACAAUAUGGGCAGUGGAAGUGAGAAGAUUGCACUCAUAUUCAAUAUGGGUGCUGGCUAUUGUGAUGUAGCUGUUACCGCUACAGCGGGAGGAGUUUCGCAGAUAAAAGCCUUGGCAGGAAGUCCUAUAGGAGGUGAAGACAUGCUUCAGAAUAUGAUGCGUCAUCUGUUGCCCGACUCAGAGAUCCUCUUCUCAAACCAUGGAAUCAGUGAGAUCAAAUCGAUGGGAUUGCUUCGAGUAGCAACCCAGGAUGCAAUCCACAAGCUCACCUCCCAGACCAGUGUUCAAAUCGAUGUUGACUUAGGAAAUGGGUCAAAAAUAUGUAAGGUUGUGGACCAGGAGGAAUUCCAGGAAGUCAACAAAAAGGUGUUUGAGAAGUGCGAGAGCCUCAUCAUCCAAUGCUUGCGUGAUGCCAAGGGAGAACCUGAAGAUGUGACUGACAUAAUUGCCGUAGGUGGAUGUUCAUAUAUUCCAAAGAUAAGGAAUCUUCUCAUGAGUAUAUGUAAAAAACAGGAGCUUUACAAAGGGAUGAACCCAUUGGAAGCUGCUGUCUGUGGGGCAGCACUAGAGGGAGCAGUGGCUUCAGGUGUCAAUGAUCCCUUUGGGAAUUUGGACCUGUUAACCAUUCAAGUCACUCCUCUGGCCAUUGGGAUUCAAGCUGUUGGAAACAAUUUUGUACCCAUUAUACCUAGAAACACUACAAUGCCAGCACGGAAAGAGCUUGUUUUCACAACUGUCCAUGAUAAUCAAACUGGGGCACUGAUUGUUGUUUAUGAAGGUGAAGAGAAGAAGGUGGAAGGGAACCAUCUGCUGGGCUAUUUCAAGAUCAUAGGUAUUCCACCAGCUCCCAGGGGAGUUCCAGAGAUAAAUGUGUGCAUGGACAUUGAUGCCUCAAAUGUUUUGAGAGUUCUGGCUGGGGUUGUACUGCCAGGGUCUCAACAUCAUGGAAUUCCUGUCAUGGAAGUCAGGAUGCCAACAGUUGAUGAUGGGCAUGGCUGGUGUGCCGAAGCUCUACAUAGAACUUAUGGGUCUAGCCUGGACUUAGAUACAGUUCAGAAGAAGAUAUAGCGGGGUCUUACCAGAAAGCAGAGGAAAUCAUCUUCAGAGGGAAGGUGGGAUUGAAGUUACCUCCAUCAUCGCAGUAUGAAUUUUGUUUUUACCUGAUUACAUAUUGAUCUGUGUUUUUACAAAAAGGCAUAGGAAAUCACCAGAUGAAGAUGUCGCCUACAUCAAUGAUAUGGAUCACAGUAUUAUCAAUGGCUGUUUUCCACCACUCCAUGGUCUUCGGUGGUGAUCUUGGGAUAAAUUAUGGAAGAACUGGGAAUGAUCUCCCAUCCCCGAAAGCUGUAGUCGAUUUCCUUACUAAAAAUCUAAACUAUGCUAUCCCACUGGUCCGGCUUUUUGAUGCUAAUCUUGAAUUUCUAGAAGCAUUGAGGGGAACCAAUUUGGUUGUAACUGUUGGAGUCCCAAAUGUCCUGCUCACCCACAUAGCAUCAAGCCAAAAUGUUGCCAAUAGCUGGGUUAACGAUCACAUCAAAUCAUUCGUCAGCCCCAAUGGUGUCAAGUUCCGUUAUAUUUUGUUGGCAGCAACGCUAUCCCAUGCAUUGUCGCGUCGUCGGGCCCUCCGGCCAUGGAAAAUAUCUACCAAGCACUAAAAUUAGCAGGAUUAUCGGAUCAUAUUAAAGUUACGACAGCGGUAUACCCUAUUGCACUAAGCAACUCAUACCCUCCAUCCAAUAGCACAUUUUGUUCUGAGGUUGCCGACAUCAUGUACAAAGUGUCAAACUUUUUAUAUGAUAUAGGCUCUCCACUUUCAAUCAAUCGUACCCUUACUUUGCCUUUGCCUCGGAUCCAUCCCUCUUCUCAUUGGAGUAUGCUUCAUUUCGAUGUCAAAAGCUGGUGCUUAUAGACGGCAUUUACGAGUAUUACAAGCUCUUUGAUGCCAUGGUGGAUGCUUUUGUAACAGCAAUGGCAAGGGCAGUGGGGAAGGAGGAUGUCAAAAUUGUGGUUUCUGAAACUGGCUGGCCAACCGAGGGCAAUGAGCCUUGCACAAGCAUUGCCAAUGCCAACAUCUAUAACAGCAAUCUAAAGAAGCAUGUGAUAGAAAAAGGGUGCACCCCACGAAGGGCAGACUUGAAUUUGGAAGCGUACAUAAAUUCAAUGUUCAACGAGAACUAAAAACCUGAUCCAGUUGAACGAUACUUUGGUGCUUUUUAUCCAAACCUUACUGAUGUAUACCGAUUAUGGCGUUGAUGAACUCAGC